This 65-nucleotide transfer RNA is filed under the name Dipodomys ordii (Ord's kangaroo rat). It matches the Rfam family "tRNA". From Rfam's summary of the family: Transfer RNA (tRNA) molecules are approximately 80 nucleotides in length. Their secondary structure includes four short double-helical elements and three loops (D, anti-codon, and T loops). Lineage: Eukaryota; Metazoa; Chordata; Mammalia; Rodentia; Heteromyidae. The record is from Rfam by way of RNAcentral.
GGUGGCUCAGUGAUAGAGCAUUUGCCUUGCAUGCAUGAGGCCCUGGGUUCGAUUCCUCGGCACCA